Molecule: RNA transcript, 1950 nt
Organism: Telopea speciosissima
Lineage: Eukaryota; Viridiplantae; Streptophyta; Magnoliopsida; Proteales; Proteaceae
Gene name: transcription termination factor MTERF9, chloroplastic
Exons: 7
Source: RefSeq, a predicted model, not a curated record
GAAGAUAAAUGAGAUAUUCCGUUUAGGGUUUUGGGAUAUUCUCUUCAAUGGCCGUUACUUGUCUAGACUUCAAUUUCAGCUCCAAUACUUUAUCUUCUUCGGCUCCGUUCCUCUCUCGAACUCACUUUCUUGGCGAGGUUCUGGUGAAGAAUGGUGUCGCUGGAAAGAGAGGAAGUAGAAGAAAUAUUAACAAUAGCUUUGUUGUUCUCUCUACGCAUUCAAACCCCAAAAUUCUCAAAUCAAAUAGAAAAUCUCGGUAUGGACAGAGGCUCUCUCCCUAUGAUGAUGAUGAUGAUGAUGGCGGUGAGGUUGGUGUUGGUGUUGCUAGUGACGAUGAAUAUUCAGAGGAUUCUACACCCUGGGAUGAUGAAUUUGCAGAAAUUGAAGAGUUCAGUGUAUUACAAAGCUUUCAAUCAGAUGAUGAAACGAACACAAAACAAGGCCACCGCAGACAACCAAAGAGGGAGUGGGAGAAAUCAUUGAAAUCCAGGCAACGUUUGAAAAUUACGGGCAGCAGAUUGGAUACUGGAAAUCAGAACAACACUCAAGUGAAUAGAAAUUACCAUGAUGCUUCAACUGGAAUGAAGGAAAUAGAUUCCAUUGAUAUAGAUGGCCGAGGAAAGCUGAAGCUCGGAAAAUCUACAGAGAGCAAGUACCGCCAAAUGUCAGAAGAAUUAGAUGUGGAUAAGAAAUGGUAUCCGCUUCUUGAUUACCUGAGCACAUAUGGACUAAAGGAUUCACACUUCAUCCAAAUCUAUGAGAGACACAUGCCCUCCCUUCAGAUUAAUGUGGCUUCCGCACAGGAAAGGUUGGAAUUCUUGUUGAGUGUUGGUGUCAAACAUAGAGACAUCAGAAAGAUGCUUCUAAGGCAACCACAAAUUCUAGAGUACACAGUGGAAAAUCUGAAGUCCCAUGUUUCAUUUUUGUUGGGUUUGGGUGUCCCAGACUCCAGAAUAGGGCAGAUAAUUGCUGCUGCUCCCUCCCUGUUUUCUUAUAGCAUUGAACACUCUCUAAAACCAACAGUCAGAUAUUUGGUUGAAGAGGUCGGUAUUAAGAGAGCUGAUUUGACCAAAGUUGUGCAAUUGAGCCCUCAAAUUCUGGUACAGCGGAUUGACAAUUCAUGGAAUGCUCGCCUGGGUUUUCUUUCGAAAGAGCUAGGGGCACCUAGGGAUUGCAUAGUUAAAAUGGUCACUAAACAUCCACAGCUUCUUCAUUACAGCAUUGAAGAUGGAAUACUGCCCAGGAUCAACUUCCUUAGGAGUAUAGGGAUGCGUAACUCUGAUAUUUUGAAAGUAUUAACAAGCCUAACUCAGGUACUAUCUCUUUCAUUGGAGCAGAAUCUUAAGCCUAAAUAUUCUUACUUGGUCAAUGAGCUUCAAAAUGAGGUGAAGUCCUUGACCAAAUAUCCCACGUACUUAAGCUUAUCUUUAGAUCAGAGAAUUCGACCUCGCCACCGGUUCUUGGUUGCUCUAAGAAAAGCUCCAGAAGGGCCUUUUCCUUUGAGUUCAUUCGUUCCCACGGAUGAAUGCUUUUGUCAUCAAUGGGCUGGAACUAGCUUAGACAAAUAUUUGGCAUUUAGACAGAGUUUACCACUCAAGGAGUUCGCAAAGAAAUAUGAGAAAAAAAGAUAGUGAAUAUACAAUGUGCAAGUUGGUAUCAGUUAUAUUACCUGAAGGUAUUUGAAGGGACUUGGAGGGAUCUCAAUCAAUUUCUGCAACUUCUAUGAGUAUUAUACAACAAUAUUCAGCUCCAUGGUUAAUCUAGAUGCUGCUCCAGAUUUAUGUCAUGGGCAAACCUAAAAUUAUCAGUGCUGUAGCUGUGUUCUGCUUGCAAUAACUUAGUGCCUCUCAUUUAUAAGUUUUGAAGCUGCAAGUUGGGCGUGACACGAGUUCCUUGGUUAAAGGGUCUUAACAUGUUUUUUUCUAACUGUUCCUUUUUCUUCUUUUUUUC